AGCAGUAGCCGCGGUAAUACGAAGGGGGCUAGCGUUGUUCGGAUUUACUGGGCGUAAAGCGCACGUAGGCGGAUCGAUCAGUCAGGGGUGAAAUCCUGGAGCUCAACUCUGGAACUGCCUUUGAUACUGUCGAUCUGGAGUAUGGAAGAGGCGAGUGGAAUUCCGAGUGUAGAGGUGAAAUUCGUAGAUAUUCGGAGGAACACCAGUGGCGAAGGCGGCUCACUGGUCCAUUACUGACGCUGAGGUGCGAAAGCGUGGGGAGCAAACAGGAUUAGAUACCCCCGUAGUCCCUGUCUCUUAUAC
RNAcentral lists this ribosomal RNA (303 nucleotides) under uncultured bacterium. Its description in RNAcentral is "partial 16S ribosomal RNA". It matches the Rfam family "Bacterial small subunit ribosomal RNA", at positions 507 to 807 of the family's 1533-position model. The record is from RNAcentral.